Molecule: long non-coding RNA, 1139 nt
Organism: Folsomia candida
Lineage: Eukaryota; Metazoa; Arthropoda; Collembola; Entomobryomorpha; Isotomidae
Exons: 3
Source: RefSeq, a predicted model, not a curated record
CAAAUUCGCACAACGUAGGAUUUGAUGUAUGCGACGGUCAAUAGUCUUCCUUUUGGGUUCCGACCACCACAAGAUCCAUUCCAUUCUUUGGGCGGCAUUGGCAGUGAGCACACCACCAACCACCACGCACCGCAUUCUCCAUCCACACACUUCCGUCCGUAGUUUCUUCCUCUUUCUUGCCUCCAAAAAGUUUGGCUGCCUCUGACUGAACGGUGAUCAGUGAACCUCUAAAACUUAUCUUCUCGCUAAAACUUGGUCAGAUAACUACAAAAUGUCUUCAUCUGGAAAAAUCGCACCCGCUCUCACCCUGGGAGGAAGAUUUUGGAGGCUUCAAAAGGAGGCUGGACUAGUUGUCAAGUCCCAAGUGUCCGCAUCCUUCGGAUCGGCAGGCACUGCGGGUGGGAAAAUGACGACCAAUUCAUUUUCUCACAAGGCUUCCAGUAGUAACACCACCAGCUCAACCUGGGGAUCCAAAAAAUCUUUUUGAUAACAACAUCGAUCAAUAAUUUGGCUCAAAAUCAAAGAAUUCUCAACUUAACCCGUCCAUUCACUGUUAUCCUUUAGCAUCUCCCAUCGAAUAAGAUAUACUAUAAUCUACUAUACACUAUAAGGCAUCUCCUUUCUGCAACAAAAAACUGGUUCAUCAUUAGACGAUUUAAUUGAUGCAUUCCUUCUACAAAAUUUCAUUUUCAAAAACUACCAUGGACUUAUUUUUUAAAUAUUCAUUUUUCAAAGUUUGUUUAAUGAAAUACUAGUUAAUUAUUGCUAUAUACUCUAAAUAUGAAUUUCUCAGUACAUGACGCUCUGGGUGUGAUAAUUUUCAGUCAGUUUGUGAUGGUAGCUUUAAUGCCCGUGAAAUGAACCAGUAUAGAAUCACUUACCUUAUAAAAUAGUUUAAAAAUUAAUUACCUACUGGUAGUUUCUACAAGUGGUAGAAAGUAUUUUUUUACAGUCGUAUCAGUGUCAUUUGACUGGAAUGGAAUUUGUAUAAUACUUCCGGUGGUGAUAUCCUUUCAAUUGAAUAUGAACUUGAAUUUGUAAAUGUAACAGUUUGCUACUUUUUUAUUGAAUCGAUUGAAUAGUACGAUGGUUGAAAUUAACUUGUAAUAAACAUAACCUGUAAUAUAUUCAUGACGAAA